Molecule: ribosomal RNA, 496 nt
Filed under: uncultured bacterium
Lineage: Bacteria
Description: partial 16S ribosomal RNA
Rfam family: Bacterial small subunit ribosomal RNA
Source: RNAcentral
AUUGAACGCUGGCGGAAUGCUUUACACAUGCAAGUCGAACGGUAGAGGGGGCAACCCCUCGAGAGUGGCGAACGGGUGAGUAAUAUAUCGGAACGUGCCCAGUCGUGGGGGAUAACGUAGCGAAAGUUACGCUAAUACCGCAUACGAUCUAAGGAUGAAAGCGGGGGAUCGCAAGACCUCGCGCGAUUGGAGCGGCCGAUAUCAGAGUAGGUAGUUGGUGGGGUAAAGGCUCACCAAGCCAACGAUCUGUAGCUGGUCUGAGAGGACGACCAGCCACACUGGAACUGAGACACGGUCCAGACUCCUACGGGAGGCAGCAGUGGGGAAUUUUGGACAAUGGACGCAAGUCUGAUCCAGCCAUUCCGCGUGCAGGAUGAAGGCCCUCGGGUUGUAAACUGCUUUUGUACGGAACGAAAAGGUCUCUCUUAAUACGGGGGGCUCAUGACGGUACCGUAAGAAUAAGCACCGGCUAACUACGCGCCAGCCGCCGCAGUAA